RNAcentral lists this ribosomal RNA (633 nucleotides) under Staphylococcus aureus. RNAcentral's name for it is "partial 23S ribosomal RNA". It matches the Rfam family "Bacterial large subunit ribosomal RNA", at positions 1581 to 2215 of the family's 2925-position model. The record is from RNAcentral. Lineage: Bacteria; Bacillati; Bacillota; Bacilli; Caryophanales; Staphylococcaceae.
UGUCUUCGAGUCGUUGAUUUCACACUGCCGAGAAAAGCCUCUAGAUAGAAAAUAGGUGCCCGUACCGCAAACCGACACAGGUAGUCAAGAUGAGAAUUCUAAGGUGAGCGAGCGAACUCUCGUUAAGGAACUCGGCAAAAUGACCCCGUAACUUCGGGAGAAGGGGUGCUCUUUAGGGUUAACGCCCAGAAGAGCCGCAGUGAAUAGGCCCAAGCGACUGUUUAUCAAAAACACAGGUCUCUGCUAAACCGUAAGGUGAUGUAUAGGGGCUGACGCCUGCCCGGUGCUGGAAGGUUAAGAGGAGUGGUUAGCUUCUGCGAAGCUACGAAUCGAAGCCCCAGUAAACGGCGGCCGUAACUAUAACGGUCCUAAGGUAGCGAAAUUCCUUGUCGGGUAAGUUCCGACCCGCACGAAAGGCGUAACGAUUUGGGCACUGUCUCAACGAGAGACUCGGUGAAAUCAUAGUACCUGUGAAGAUGCAGGUUACCCGCGACAGGACGGAAAGACCCCGUGGAGCUUUACUGUAGCCUGAUAUUGAAAUUCGGCACAGCUUGUACAGGAUAGGUAGGAGCCUUUGAAACGUGAGCGCUAGCUUACGUGGAGGCGCUGGUGGGAUACUACCCUAGCUGUGUU